GUCACUGGGGCCAGUAAGUGCAAACCUCACCAAACAAAGUAUGUAUAUAUAGAACGCUUUAAACUCUAGUUGAAUCAAAUAUGUAACUAUGGAAAAAUGUUAUCGAUGGAUUUAUAAAUACACUUGAACUAAUGAACUACAAUUAAACUUAAAUACUUAUAUAGAUUAUAGAUGUCCUAAUAAACACUUUGAGAAUAUUGAACCUAACUAUACAUUUGAUACCAAUUAUACCUAGCGAAUAUACAGAAUGAAAUGACUAACAAAUGACUAUGAAUGUGACACGUAUGAUAAUAAGACGAUAUUAUAUCUUCCUAGGAACUCUUAGUAGUUCCUGGGCGUCACUUAUAGGCCCUUUGGGAGGACGACCGUUCCACCAGAAAUGACUGAAGUCCCCAGUGGUAAAUGGAAUCUUCG
This 414-nucleotide long non-coding RNA is filed under the name Mytilus galloprovincialis (Mediterranean mussel). The record is from RNAcentral. Lineage: Eukaryota; Metazoa; Mollusca; Bivalvia; Mytilida; Mytilidae.